RNAcentral lists this ribosomal RNA (497 nucleotides) under uncultured bacterium. RNAcentral describes it as "partial 16S ribosomal RNA". It matches the Rfam family "Bacterial small subunit ribosomal RNA", at positions 28 to 507 of the family's 1533-position model. The record is from RNAcentral.
GAGGAAAGAGGGAGGCGUGCCUAAUACAUGCAAGUCGAGCGAACGGACGAGAAGCUUGCUUCUCUGAUGUUAGCGGCGGACGGGUGAGUAACACGUGGAUAACCUACCUAUAAGACUGGGAUAACUUCGGGAAACCGGAGCUAAUACCGGAUGAUAUUUUGAACCGCAUGGUUCAAAAGUGAAAGACGGUCUUGCUGCCACUUAUAGAUGGAUCCGCGCUGCAUUAGCUAGUUGGUAAGGUAACGGCUUACCAAGGCAACGAUGCAUAGCCGACCUGAGAGGGUGAUCGGCCACACUGGAACUGAGACACGGUCCAGACUCCUACGGGAGGCAGCAGUAGGGAAUCUUCCGCAAUGGGCGAAAGCCUGACGGAGCAACGCCGCGUGAGUGAUGAAGGUCUUCGGAUCGUAAAACUCUGUUAUUAGGGAAGAACAUAUGUGUAAGUAACUGUGCACAUCUUGACGGUACCUAAUCAGAAAGCCACGGCUAACUACGUG